UGCGUAGGGGGCAAGCGUUGUCCGGAUUUAUUGGGCGUAAAGCGCGUGUAGGCGGCCAGGUAGGUCCGCUGUGAAAACCCGAGGCUCAACCUCGGGACGUCGGCGGAAACCAUCUGGCUAGAGUCCGGCAGAGGAGAGUGGAAUUCCCGGUGUAGCGGUGAAAUGCGCAGAUAUCGGGAGGAACACCGGUGGCGAAGGCGGCAUCCUGGACCGGCAUUGACGCUGAGGCGCGAAAGCUAGGGGAGCAAACGGG
Molecule: ribosomal RNA, 253 nt
Filed under: uncultured bacterium
Lineage: Bacteria
Description: partial 16S ribosomal RNA
Rfam family: Bacterial small subunit ribosomal RNA
Source: RNAcentral